GAUGAAGAACGCAGCGAAAUGCGAUACGUAGUGUGAAUUGCAGAAUUCAGUGAAUCAUCGAAUCUUUGAACGCACAUUGCACCUCUCGGUAUUCCGGGAGGUAUGCCUGUUCGAGCGUCAUUUGUACCCUCAAGCUCUGCUUGGUGUUGGGUGUUUGUUCCGCCUCUGUGUGUGAACUCGCCUCAAUACAAUUGGCAGCCGGCGUACUUGUUUCGGAGCGCAGCACAUUUUGCGAUCCAGAUCAACGUACAGCGGCAUCCAAGAAGCCUUAUUUAACGCUCUUGACCUCGGAUCAGGUAGGGAUACCCGCUGAACUUAAGCAUAUCAAUAAGCGGAGGA
Molecule: unclassified non-coding RNA, 339 nt
Filed under: soil metagenome
Description: partial contains 5.8S ribosomal RNA, internal transcribed spacer 2, and large subunit ribosomal RNA
Rfam family: 5.8S ribosomal RNA (bases 1-120)
Source: RNAcentral